AUGAACGCUGGCGGCGUGCCUAAUACAUGCAAGUCGAGCGAACAGACGAGGAGCUUGCUCCUCUGACGUUAGCGGCGGACGGGUGAGUAACACGUGGAUAACCUACCUAUAAGACUGGGAUAACUUCGGGAAACCGGAGCUAAUACCGGAUAAUAUAUUGAACCGCAUGGUUCAAUAGUGAAAGACGGUUUUGCUGUCACUUAUAGAUGGAUCCGCGCCGCAUUAGCUAGUUGGUAAGGUAACGGCUUACCAAGGCAACGAUGCGUAGCCGACCUGAGAGGGUGAUCGGCCACACUGGAACUGAGACACGGUCCAGACUCCUACGGGAGGCAGCAGUAGGGAAUCUUCCGCAACGGGCGAAAGCCUGACGGAGCAACGCCGCGUGAGUGAUGAAGGUCUUCGGAUCGUAAAACUCUGUUAUUAGGGAAGAACAAAUGUGUAAGUAACUAUGCACGUCUUGACGGUACCUAAUCAGAAAGCCACGGCUAACUACGU
This 495-nucleotide ribosomal RNA is filed under the name uncultured bacterium. RNAcentral's name for it is "partial 16S ribosomal RNA". It matches the Rfam family "Bacterial small subunit ribosomal RNA", at positions 29 to 506 of the family's 1533-position model. The record is from RNAcentral.